This 202-nucleotide long non-coding RNA is filed under the name Gossypium raimondii (Peruvian cotton). Its description in RNAcentral is "long non-coding RNA (GRAI_LNC010356)". The record is from RNAcentral. Lineage: Eukaryota; Viridiplantae; Streptophyta; Magnoliopsida; Malvales; Malvaceae.
UUGGUGUUGUUGGCGAGAUCAACAUGUAAUAUGGUACAGUGUGUAAUGGUCGUGCAUAAUAUAUCCCUAGAGAAUGUGUUGAUGUAAGGAAUGAUGGGGCAUGCUGUGGUGCUUGUGUAAAAUAAACUGGUGCUGAAUGUGUUGAUGUAGGGAAUGAUUGUGCAAUAAUGUGGUGGUUGUGUAAAAUAAACUGAAACUGAAG